AACACUAUUCUAGCAUUUUAAACUGAUUUCGUAGUGUAGUAAACACCAACCAUCACAACACACAAACAACCAUUAGUCUUAAAAUGCACAUCAAGUAGAAGAAUAAACGACUUACAAAGACCCGUUCUUAAAGUGGCGCUGGCGAAUUAAUAUAGAAAACAGCGGAGGACCGUCCGAGACAUUUUUAACCGAUCGUAUUAUACAAGAUUGCGCGAAAAAUAUUAUAUUCGUCGAAUAAAUAAUAUUUUCGAUAUUAAUUCCAACGGAGGCGUGUACCAAUUAAUACGUUUUUAAUUAUUAUCGCACGUGUGUGUGUGUGCUUUAAUUCACUGCAGUGCAGUAGCAAUAACGGCGACAACAGCCGCGGACCGACGCGAAACCGGUACGACACGAUGGCGGCGUCGUCGUCGCGGUCGGUUUAUUUA
Cinara cedri is the source of this 425-nucleotide non-coding RNA. NCBI's taxonomy places the organism in Eukaryota, Metazoa, Arthropoda, Insecta, Hemiptera, Aphididae. The record is from the annotation of a GenBank genome assembly.